This 392-nucleotide ribosomal RNA is filed under the name uncultured bacterium. RNAcentral describes it as "partial 16S ribosomal RNA". It matches the Rfam family "Bacterial small subunit ribosomal RNA", at positions 523 to 918 of the family's 1533-position model. The record is from RNAcentral.
AUACGUAGGGGGCGAGCGUUGUCCGGAUUUAUUGGGCGUAAAGGGUGCGUAGGCGGCCUUGUAAGUCAGAUGUGAAAUCUCACGGCUUAACCGUGGUAAGCAUUUGAAACUGUGAGGCUUGAGUACAGGAGAGGAGAGUGGAAUUCCUAGUGUAGCGGUGAAAUGCGUAGAUAUUAGGAGGAAUACCAGUGGCGAAGGCGACUCUCUGGACUGUAACUGACGCUGAGGCACGAAAGCGUGGGGAGCAAACAGGAUUAGAUACCCUGGUAGUCCACGCCGUAAACGAUGAGUGCUAGGUGUCGGGGGUCAAACCUCGGUGCCGCAGUUAACACAUUAAGCACUCCGCCUGGGGAGUACGGUGGCAACACUGAAACUCAAAUGAAUUGACGGGG